UGAUUCUUCUGAUGAAGGUCUGGUGACUGAGUGGCGGACGGGUGAGUAACGCGUGGGUAACCUGCCCUGUACAGGGGGAUAACAGUUGGAAACGGCUGCUAAUACCGCAUAAGCGCACGAGAGGACAUCCUCUUGUGUGAAAAACUCCGGUGGUACAGGAUGGGCCCGCGUCUGAUUAGCUGGUUGGCAGGGUAACGGCCUACCAAGGCGACGAUCAGUAGCCGGUCUGAGAGGAUGAACGGCCACAUUGGAACUGAGACACGGUCCAAACUCC
This 274-nucleotide ribosomal RNA is filed under the name uncultured Lachnospiraceae bacterium. RNAcentral's name for it is "partial 16S ribosomal RNA". It matches the Rfam family "Bacterial small subunit ribosomal RNA", at positions 69 to 339 of the family's 1533-position model. The record is from RNAcentral. Lineage: Bacteria; Bacillati; Bacillota; Clostridia; Lachnospirales; Lachnospiraceae.